AUUGAACGCUGGCGGCAGGCCUAACACAUGCAAGUCGAGCGAGCGGCGGACGGGUGAGUAAUGUAUGGGGACCUGCCAGAUGGCGGGGGAUACCUACUGGAAACGGUAGUUAAUACCGCAUACCAUCAGAUGAUCCCAUAGGGGAUUAUCCAGUGGGUGAGGUAAAGGCUUACCUAGGCGACGAUCCAUAGCUGGUCUGAGAGGGUGAUCGGCCACACUGGGACUGAGACACGGCCCAGACUCCUACGGGAGGCAGCAGUGGGGAAUAUUGCACAAUGGGCGCAAGCCUGAUGCAGCCAUGCCGCGUGUAUGAAGAAGGCCUUCGGGUUGUAAAGUACUUUCAGUCGGGAGGCGUUACCGACAGAAGAAGCACCGGCUAACUCCGUGCCAGCAGCCGCGGUAAUAC
Molecule: ribosomal RNA, 406 nt
Filed under: uncultured bacterium
Lineage: Bacteria
Description: partial 16S ribosomal RNA
Rfam family: Bacterial small subunit ribosomal RNA
Source: RNAcentral